RNAcentral lists this ribosomal RNA (253 nucleotides) under uncultured bacterium. RNAcentral describes it as "partial 16S ribosomal RNA". It matches the Rfam family "Bacterial small subunit ribosomal RNA", at positions 524 to 775 of the family's 1533-position model. The record is from RNAcentral.
UACGUAGGAGGCGAGCGUUGUCCGGAAUUACUGGGCGUAAAGAGCGCGUAGGCGGCGCAAUACGACAGGUGUGAAAGCCCCCGGCUCAACCGGGGAGGGUCGCCUGUAACGGUUGUGCUCUGAGUGCAGGAGAGGGAUGUGGAACUCCGGGAGUAGCGGUGAAAUGCGUAGAGACCCGGAGGAACACCAGUGGCGAAGGCGGCAUCCUGGUCUGCGACUGACGCUGAGGCGCGAAAGCUAGGGGAGCGAACGG